GACGAACGCUGGCGGCGUGCCUAUUAAAUGCAAGUAGAACGCUGAAGGAGGAGCUUGCUUCUCUGGAUGAGUUGCGAACGGGUGAGUAACGCGUAGGUAACCUGCCUGGUAGCGGGGGAUAACUAUUGGAAACGAUAGCUAAUACCGCAUAAUAGCAGUUGUUGCAUGACAACUGUUUGAAAGGUGCAAUUGCACCACUACCAGAUGGACCUGCGUUGUAUUAGCUAGUUGGUGGGGUAACGGCUCACCAAGGCGACGAUACAUAGCCGACCUGAGAGGGGGAUCGGCCACACUGGGACUGGGACACGGCCCAGACUCCUACGGGAGGCAGCAGUAGGGAAUCUUCGGCAAUGGACGGAAGUCUGACCGAGCAACGCCGCGUGAGUGAAGAAGGUUUUCGGAUCGUAAAGCUCUGUUGUAAGAGAAGAACGAGUGUGAGAGUGGAAAGUUCACACUGUGACGGUAUCUUACCAGAAAGGGACGGCUAACUACGUG
This 495-nucleotide ribosomal RNA is filed under the name uncultured bacterium. Its description in RNAcentral is "partial 16S ribosomal RNA". It matches the Rfam family "Bacterial small subunit ribosomal RNA", at positions 28 to 507 of the family's 1533-position model. The record is from RNAcentral.